GACGAACGCUGGCGGCGUGCUUAACACAUGCAAGUCGAGCGGUAAGGCCCUUCGGGUACGACGAGCGGCGAACGGGUGAGUAACACGUGGGUGACCUGCCUCUAGCUCUGGGAUAAGCCUGGGAAACUGGGUCUAAUACCGGAUAUGACUCCACGGCGCAUGUUGUGGGGUGGAAAGCCUUGUGUGGCUAGAGAUGGGCCCGCGGCCUAUCAGCUUGUUGGUGGGGUGAUGGCCUACCAAGGCGACGACGGGUAGCCGGCCUGAGAGGGCGACCGGCCACACUGGGACUGAGACACGGCCCAGACUCCUACGGGAGGGCAGCAGUGGGGAAUCUUGCGCAAUGGGCGAAAGCCUGACGCAGCGACGCCGCGUGAGGGAUGACGGCCU
Molecule: ribosomal RNA, 387 nt
Filed under: uncultured bacterium
Lineage: Bacteria
Description: bacterial SSU rRNA
Rfam family: Bacterial small subunit ribosomal RNA
Source: RNAcentral